GGUGCGCCGGGCCGCGCCGACCCUCCCGGGACGCGGCCGCAACACGUGGAGCGAACUUUUGAGGGACGCGUGUCUGCGCCGGACGGGAGCCCCGCCGACCGGGACCGCAACGCUGCACGGAGCAGCUCGUCUCUCUCCGGAGCAUUUCAACUGCUUUUCUUAAAGCUGAAUUCUUUAUAAAGGAGAAGUGACUAGAAACCCUGAGCUGAGGUCUGGCUUAACUUUGUAAGGCACACUGACACACUGAGGCUGCUCCACUUAAGGUAUGGUAUGAACCAGGAGCUGAUCCCGUGCCUGUGGAAUGAGUGUUCACAUGGAGUCAUCCUCUGGAGCUACUGCAGCUGCUGUGUAAGCAAGUCCUAAAGGACAAGCCCUGUCCCAGUGACAGUGUGACAGAGAAGACAGACAAUGGGCACAAGGAUGAAGGAUGGAUUCUGUUCAACCCACAGGGAACAAAGAAACCUGGGCUGCUCAAGGCCCCACAGACCUGUCCAGGAGUGUCCUUUGUGCCAGCUGAUUCCAGGAAUGUGACACUUUUGGAACUGUUUGUGUCAGGACUUCCUGCUUAGACACCUGUGAUUUCUGAGACUGCCUCAUCAUAGGAAACCCCAGAUCUGCUGCUCCUCUCCACAAGGACUUCUGUAUCCAGCAACUCUCGUGUCUUCUUUGGAUACUGAAACGAGAUGAAAGGGCUUGAAUGUUUCCUUGGCAAGAUGGGUGGAUGGAAUUGGUUUAAUCUGUUCUGAUUCUGACACCUACAAGUCCACUGACCCAAUCACCUCUUCUGUUGCAAAGCAACACUACUGUGGAAUAUUCUUUGUGAUGAAAGCAGGAGGAUCAGGAAUGGGGGUUUGUAACUUUUUUGGAUGAGUUUCUGUUACAAUUUUUAUCUUUAGUAUCAACACUUUAAAUAAGGAUAUUUAUAUGUUAAAAUAAACACAUUUUUUGCCCUGAAAUACUGGAAUACACCUCCCCAGCCUCUUCCGACCUCAGUUCUGCCACUGAAGAGAAGCCACCCAUGGAUUUUAAGGUCAGAAGGACAAGUCAGAACUUCUAAGAGAGGAUGUGCACAGAACAAAUCCUGUAGUUCAUCCUGCAGCCCAGACCCUAAUGAAUGGAUCUUUUUCUUAUGUGCUGUGGGAAUUCUGCCUAUAGAAAUGUCUGAGGAGCUGUUCCAGGGCUUUAUAACCUUGUAUCUUGUUCCUUGUGGCAAGCUGCAAGUUGCCUGCUUAUCCUGGCCUCUGUGGACAAAACCCUCCACGUGUGUGACUGCAGAGGGAAAUAGGAGAGCACUGUGGUUUGGUGCUGGUUUGUCAGAUCUGUUCCAAAGCAGCUCCCCCAGGUGCCUGUCAGAGGCUCACAUGCAGGAUCCCUUGUGCACAUCCUGCAUCCCUUGUGUCCUCUUCAGCACUUGAGGACAUUGUCAGCAGACCAAAGUGCAUUUCUUAGUGCCCACACCAAGUCACUGAGACUUCAAGAACAAAUCUGACUAGAUUGAAUUUUCUUUCUUUUUAAAGUUCAGUGCCACUUAACACCUCCAACUUAGCUUUGAAAAAGCAGAAAUACCUAAAAUAAAUGUGUUUUGAACAGUA
Long non-coding RNA from Melospiza melodia melodia, 1592 nucleotides. RefSeq lists it as uncharacterized. The transcript is spliced from 2 exons. NCBI's taxonomy places the organism in Eukaryota, Metazoa, Chordata, Aves, Passeriformes, Passerellidae. The record is from RefSeq and is a predicted model, not a curated record.